GAUAAAACGCUGGCGGCGCACAUAAGACAUGCAAGUCGAACGGACUUAACCAUUAGUUUACUAUUGGAGCGGUUAGUGGCGGACUGGUGAGUAACACGUAAGCAACCUGCCUAUCAGAGGGGAACAACAGUUAGAAAUGACUGCUAAUACCGCAUAUACCUAAGUAUCGCAUGGUACAAUAGGGAAAGGAGCAAUCCGCUGAUAGAUGGGCUUGCGUCUGAUUAGAUAGUUGGUGGGGUAACGGCCUACCAAGUCGACGAUCAGUAGCCGGACUGAGAGGUUGAACGGCCACAUUGGGACUGAGAUACGGCCCAG
Molecule: ribosomal RNA, 315 nt
Filed under: uncultured bacterium
Lineage: Bacteria
Description: bacterial SSU rRNA
Rfam family: Bacterial small subunit ribosomal RNA
Source: RNAcentral